GAUGAACGCUGGCGGCGUGCCUAAUACAUGCCAGUCGAGCGAACAGACGAGGAGCUUGCUCCUUUGACGUUAGCGGCGGACGGGUGAGUAACACGUGGAUAACCUACCUAUAAGACUGGGAUAACUUCGGGAAACCGGAGCUAAUACCGGAUAACAUGUUGAACCGCAUGGUUCAACAGUGAAAGACGGUCUUGCUGUCACUUAUAGAUGGAUCCGCGCCGCAUUAGCUAGUUGGUAAGGUAACGGCUUACCAAGGCAACGAUGCGUAGCCGACCUGAGAGGGUGAUCGGCCACACUGGAACUGAGACACGGUCCAGACUCCUAAGGGAGGCAGCAGUAGGGAAUGUUCCGCAAUGGGCGAAAGCCUGACGGAGCAACGCCGCGUGAGUGAAGAAGGUCUUCGGAUCGUAAAACUCUGUUAUUAGGGAAGAACAAAUGUGUAAGUAACUAUGCACGUCUUGACGGUACCUAAUCAGAAAGCCACGGCUAACUACGUG
RNAcentral lists this ribosomal RNA (497 nucleotides) under uncultured bacterium. RNAcentral's name for it is "partial 16S ribosomal RNA". It matches the Rfam family "Bacterial small subunit ribosomal RNA", at positions 28 to 507 of the family's 1533-position model. The record is from RNAcentral.